Molecule: long non-coding RNA, 707 nt
Filed under: Coccomyxa subellipsoidea
Lineage: Eukaryota; Viridiplantae; Chlorophyta; Trebouxiophyceae; Coccomyxaceae
Description: long non-coding RNA (CSUB_LNC000604)
Source: RNAcentral
UUGCAGAGCAGAGGAGAGCAUGCUGCGAGUGGCUUCGACGAGGUCAUAGGAGUAGUAGGCGGUGCUGGGCACUCUGUUUGGCACCUCGGCCCCGUGGAAGACACUCCCGGCUCUGUAGCCUGGAAACUCCGGGUCUGUUGGGUGCACAUACAGCUGCAGGCACAACAGAGCCCUCAAUUAACGCAUGGACUCUGCUGUGGCUUGUCUUGGGUGAAACUGCUGGCCGAAGACAGCCAGCAGAAGUGUGCGCAUGCAUCGCGGCAUCACAGAAGUGUUCUUUCACUGACUGAGUCAGUAGAACGGUCUCACACACGCCCAUAGUAUCUUAGGGCCUUCUAUGUAUUUGGCACGAGUAUCAUUUUCAUUAUCACCCGCCUGUCCAGUCCGUGAGAAUCACAUUCGUGGCAGCAGCAUCCCCUAUGACAGGCUUCCAACCUUUCAUGCCGUUGGCAAAUUAAGAAGAGCAGAAUGGUGAGGAGUUUGCAGCGCACCGUGAAAAGAUGCUGCUGCUGUGCAAUGUAGCGGUGGAUCCCGUGCUCCUCUCGGCAGGCAUUCAGCACAGACUCGCGCUCUGUCUGUGUGGAGGUGCAGUUUGUGCUCUCCCCACAGGGCAUCACUAUCUGCCCCUCAACCUCUUGCAGCCACAGCUUCCACAGCGUCUCCUGCGCAGCACAUCAGACACUCUCGACCAUCACAUCAUUUCAUCG